AUUGAACGCUGGCGGCAGGCCUAACACAUGCAAGUCGAGCGGAUGAAGGGAGCUUGCUCCUGGAUUCAGCGGCGGACGGGUGAGUAAUGCCUAGGAAUCUGCCUGGUAGUGGGGGAUAACGUCCGGAAACGGGCGCUAAUACCGCAUACGUCCUGAGGGAGAAAGUGGGGGAUCUUCGGACCUCACGCUAUCAGAUGAGCCUAGGUCGGAUUAGCUAGUUGGUGGGGUAAAGGCCUACCAAGGCGACGAUCCGUAACUGGUCUGAGAGGAUGAUCAGUCACACUGGAACUGAGACACGGUCCAGACUCCUACGGGAGGCAGCAGUGGGGAAUAUUGGACAAAGGGCGAAAGCCUGAUCCAGCCAUGCCGCGCGUGUGAAGAAGGUCUUCGGAUUGUAAAGCACUUUAAGUUGGGAGGAAGGGCAGUAAGUUAAUACCUUGCUGUUUUGACGUUACCAACAGAAUAAGCACCGGCUAACUUCGUG
Molecule: ribosomal RNA, 484 nt
Filed under: uncultured bacterium
Lineage: Bacteria
Description: partial 16S ribosomal RNA
Rfam family: Bacterial small subunit ribosomal RNA
Source: RNAcentral